Suricata suricatta (meerkat) is the source of this 102-nucleotide small nuclear RNA. NCBI's taxonomy places the organism in Eukaryota, Metazoa, Chordata, Mammalia, Carnivora, Herpestidae. The record is from Ensembl.
GUAACAGUGCUCACUUAGACUAAAGUUGGAACCACACAGAGAAGAUUAGCAUGGCCCUUGUGCAAGGAUGAUAUGCAAAUUCAUGAAGCAUUCCAUAUUAAA